Molecule: long non-coding RNA, 600 nt
Filed under: Apteryx rowi (Okarito brown kiwi)
Lineage: Eukaryota; Metazoa; Chordata; Aves; Apterygiformes; Apterygidae
Description: lncRNA (ENSARWG00000009947.1)
Source: RNAcentral
AAUUGAUUAUAAGCGCCAUUUGGCGCACUGCAAAUGGUGUUGAGGCUGCAGCGAAGCCCUCGGGGCUGAACGACCCCUCGGAACACUUAAAACUGGGAAGUUUGRGAAAUAAUUUUGUUGCUAUACCUUUUGAUUUCCCCCCCCCACACACACUCCUUUUUCUGAAAGUCUUAAACAUGGGAACUUUUGCUUUCAAAAAACGUAUAUAUCCUUUCUUUGGGUUCCUCUUUCAGUGACUGCCAGAUCCAGAGUAGCAGGAGGUAAAACAUGAGGUAAAAAAGGAAGGUUCAAGUUGUGCCUGUGUGCAAUGGGAGAGGAGGGACUGCCCGGCUUGGCCUGCGCGCCCGGAAAGCGCCGUUCCCCUAAGGAAGCGGGCUGUGAGGGGCCACACCGAAGAGGAGUAAGUUUUACGGACCCCAAGUGAACUUCACACCUUUCAUGUAGCUGUUAUAAAUGAAAGAAUAUGAGAAAAAAAGAACUAGAACUGCAGAAGCCUUUGCUGCAGGUGCCAGUCAUGGAGAAGCCUUGGAAGCCUUAGCUUUAGACAAUUAAAAGCAGUGUUUUUUCCCUAAAAUAGAAAAAAAGUCUUUGAUAGCUGAA